GGCGUGCCUAAUACAUGCAAGUCGAACGCUUCUUUUUCCACCGGAGCUUGCUCCACCGGAAAAAGAGGAGUGGCGAACGGGUGAGUAACACGUGGGUAACCUGCCCAUCAGAAGGGGAUAACACUUGGAAACAGGUGCUAAUACCGUAUAACAAUCGAAACCGCAUGGUUUUGAUUUGAAAGGCGCUUUCGGGUGUCGCUGAUGGAUGGACCCGCGGUGCAUUAGCUAGUUGGUGAGGUAACGGCUCACCAAGGCCACGAUGCAUAGCCGACCUGAGAGGGUGAUCGGCCACAUUGGGACUGAGACACGGCCCAAACUCCUACGGGAGGCAGCAGUAGGGAAUCUUCGGCAAUGGACGAAAGUCUGACCGAGCAACGCCGCGUGAGUGAAGAAGGUUUUCGGAUCGUAAAACUCUGUUGUUAGAGAAGAACAAGGAUGAGAGUAACUGUUCAUCCCUUGACGGUAUCUAACCAGAAAGCCACGGCUAACUACGUGCCAGCAGCCGCGGUAAUACGUAGGUGGCAAGCGUUGUCCGGAUUUAUUGGGCGUAAAGCGAGCGCAGGCGGUUUCUUAAGUCUGAUGUGAAAGCCCCCGGCUCAACCGGGGAGGGUCAUUGGAAACUGGGAGACUUGAGUGCAGAAGAGGAGAGUGGAAUUCCAUGUGUAGCGGUGAAAUGCGUAGAUAUAUGGAGGAACACCAGUGGCGAAGGCGGCUCUCUGGUCUGUAACUGACGCUGAGGCUCGAAAGCGUGGGGAGCAAACAGGAUUAGAUACCCUGGUAGUCCACGCCGUAAACGAUGAGUGCUAAGUGUUGGAGGGUUUCCGCCCUUCAGUGCUGCAGCUAACGCAUUAAGCACUCCGCCUGGGGAGUACGACCGCAAGGUUGAAACUCAAAGGAAUUGACGGGGGCCCGCACAAGCGGUGGAGCAUGUGGUUUAAUUCGAAGCAACGCGAAGAACCUUACCAGGUCUUGACAUCCUUUGACCACUCUAGAGAUAAG
Molecule: ribosomal RNA, 999 nt
Filed under: Enterococcus faecium
Lineage: Bacteria; Bacillati; Bacillota; Bacilli; Lactobacillales; Enterococcaceae
Description: bacterial SSU rRNA
Rfam family: Bacterial small subunit ribosomal RNA
Source: RNAcentral